Molecule: long non-coding RNA, 278 nt
Organism: Mytilus californianus (California mussel)
Lineage: Eukaryota; Metazoa; Mollusca; Bivalvia; Mytilida; Mytilidae
Exons: 3
Source: RefSeq, a predicted model, not a curated record
AAAAGGAAUUGGACAUGGGAAGACAUUCAGCAGUACAAAUGAUAGCGACCAAUCAGCUUCAAAGUCAUUAACUCAUGUUUAUGAUGGUACUAUUUCACCACUGGCGAACCUUUCAUCUAUCUUAUUUAGAAACUACGAUUCUGGUGUCCGCCCUUAUUGUCCAGGGGAGGAAGAAAUAAUCGAUUUGUCAGUGGAUUUAGCUGUCCGUCAACUUAUUGACCUUGAUGAACCAAAUCAGUUUAUCACAAUGAAUAUUUGGAUGCGCUUGGUAUGUACAC